This is a long non-coding RNA of Sarcophilus harrisii (Tasmanian devil), 567 nucleotides long. RefSeq lists it as uncharacterized. The transcript has 4 exons. The record is from RefSeq and is a predicted model, not a curated record. Lineage: Eukaryota; Metazoa; Chordata; Mammalia; Dasyuromorphia; Dasyuridae.
CCAAAUAUUAAAUGUGAAGAAUUUACAUUGGGCAUUCUCUUUGACAAAAGAUGAGAAUAACUUAAGACUCAGAGAUGGGAACAAACCUGACCAAUGACAUACAGUUAACAAGCAGCAGAGCCAAGAUUCAAAGCAUAAGAUGGUAGAUUAUUCAAAGCAACUACUCAUUUAACAGCAAUUUUUCAUGUUGAUUGCCAACAAAGUCCUCACAUUUCCUGGUCCACACACUCUGCCUCGCAGGCCGAGGCACCCUGAAACAAAUUAGAAUGGAUUAUCUUUGAACUGGAGGAUGGACUUCACUUGAGCUUACAUGUCUUGAAAAGUUACAGGCACAACCCCAACUGGCAGCUGGCCUGUAGAAGCCUGCUACAAAACUAUCAGAGAAGCCAGGGAAUGGCACCAGCAAGUGAGGGUUAUUUGGAUUGGGGAUUAAUGAUGGACUUCUGCUCCUGGACUGCUCCACUUAUAAAAGAAUGUGGCAGAACUGUCUCUUCCUCUAGCUGUCAAAUUGAGGGUGUAUAUCAAUCCUCUCUUUCCCUAUUUUUUUCCCUUCAUUUCCUUCUAAGU